Molecule: non-coding RNA, 125 nt
Filed under: Deinococcus sp.
Lineage: Bacteria; Thermotogati; Deinococcota; Deinococci; Deinococcales; Deinococcaceae
Also listed under: 1 other name
Description: GlcN6P sequence
Rfam family: glmS glucosamine-6-phosphate activated ribozyme aptamer
About the family: This entry contains a glucosamine-6-phosphate activated ribozyme that is found in the mRNA for GlmS. GlmS is an enzyme that uses fructose-6-phosphate and glutamine to generate glucosamine-6-phosphate.
Source: RNAcentral
GCGAACAGGGCAGCGCAAGGUCUGCCUCUCCCCUGGACAGGCAGAAGACGAGGUGGAGGUCAGCGAAGAUUCUGCGGAUGCCUCCAGGCCCCGGCACGGGCCUACCCGACCGCUGAUGCGGUGAA